GAGGGCUUAACUGUCUCCUGUAGCCAAUCAAUGAAAUUGAUCUCACAGUACAAAUGCUGUGAUACAACUAUAAGACGAGAAGACCCUGUGGAGCUUUAAACCUCCCACAUUAACUAAUUAUACUCAACUACCAUUAGUAUAACGUGAGUUUUAAGUUGGGGCGACUAUGGAGUAAAAAUUAACCUCCAAGUAAUACGAUUAAACCUCGUUACACACGGCUAACAAGCCCAGUCAAAACACACGACCCAGUAAAACUGACUAUCGAACCAAGUUACCCCAGGGAUAACAGCGCCAUCCCCUUAAAGAGUCCACAUCG
Molecule: ribosomal RNA, 316 nt
Filed under: Phelsuma lineata (striped day gecko)
Lineage: Eukaryota; Metazoa; Chordata; Lepidosauria; Squamata; Gekkonidae
Description: partial 16S ribosomal RNA
Rfam family: Bacterial large subunit ribosomal RNA
Source: RNAcentral